Molecule: long non-coding RNA, 579 nt
Organism: Episyrphus balteatus (marmalade hoverfly)
Lineage: Eukaryota; Metazoa; Arthropoda; Insecta; Diptera; Syrphidae
Exons: 4
Source: RefSeq, a predicted model, not a curated record
UUUCCGAUCAGCGUUGGCUAAUGAAAAAGAAGCAUAUUGUAUCUACAAGACACAGUUGGGUGAAAAUCAUGAUAAGACUCAGGAAUCAUCACAGUGCCCACGCCUGUUGACACAACAAGCUGUCUGACUUUUAUACAUUAUUUACAAACCAAAAAGAUUGGGAACAGCGUUACAUUCAUCCAGAAUAUAUGCCAUGCUCUGAUGUAUUCUGCCUUAGAGUUGGAACAGAAAGAUUUUGUCAAGAUAUGGUUGCCAUCAAGGAGAACUUUGAAAAGUGGUCUGAUGGCAGCAAUAAGGAUUCUCGAUUGGAAUGAUGUUACGAUACGAAGCUGUGCCAACUCGUGAUAUUCAAAUGAAGCAAGUCGGUUUGCAUGCUCUUUGGCUGAGGUUUCUCGAACUAUUAUUGCGUCCGUUGCAAGAAAAUACUUUUAUUGGAUAUUUCCAUAACUCACCAAGAUCGUUGAUGAAUUUCGUCGUUCGUUAUAUACCAGAUGAACAGCCUUUACUUAGACCACAUCAUGAUUCUUCUACCAAAUACCCAUAAGUUAAAUUAAUAAUUUUUAUAACAACAAAACUUGA